GAUGAACGCUGGCGGCGUGCUUAAUACAUGCAAGUCGAACGGUAAGGCCCUGCCUUUGUGGGGUGCUCGAGUGGCGAACGGGUGAGUAACACGUGAGUAACCUGCCUGGUACUUUGGGAUAACUAUUGGAAACGGUGGCUAAUACCGGAUAGGAGCUCUUGCUGCAUGGUGGGGGUUGGAAAGUUUCGGCGGUUGGGCAUGGACUCGCGGCUGAUUAGCUUGUUGGUGGGGUAGUGGCUUCGCAAGGCCUUGACGAGGAGCCGGCCUGAGAGGGUGACCGGCCACAUUGGGACUGAGAUAGGGCCCAGACUCCUACGGGAGGAAGCAGUGGAGAAUAUUGCACAAUAAGCGGAAGCCUGAUGCAGCAACGCCGCGUGCGAGAUGACGGCCUUCGGGUUGUAAACCGCGUUCGCCUGUGACGAAGCGUGAGUGGCGGUAAUGGGUAAAGAAGCACCGGCUAACUACGUG
This 468-nucleotide ribosomal RNA is filed under the name uncultured bacterium. RNAcentral describes it as "partial 16S ribosomal RNA". It matches the Rfam family "Bacterial small subunit ribosomal RNA", at positions 28 to 507 of the family's 1533-position model. The record is from RNAcentral.